Molecule: ribosomal RNA, 429 nt
Filed under: uncultured bacterium
Lineage: Bacteria
Description: bacterial SSU rRNA
Rfam family: Bacterial small subunit ribosomal RNA
Source: RNAcentral
UGGGGAAUUGUUCGCAAUGGGCGCAAGCCUGACGACGCAACGCCGCGUGGAGGAUGAAGAUUUUCGGAUCGUAAACUCCUGUCGAAUGGGACGAAUAGGUCACGGCUUAAUACUCCGUGAUCCUGACGGUACCGUUAAAGGAAACCCCGGCUAACUCCGUGCCAGCAGCCGCGGUAAUACGGGGGGGGUAAGCGUUGUUCGGAAUUACUGGGCGUAAAGGGCUCGUAGGCGGCCAACUAAGUCAGACGUGAAAUCCCUCAGCUUAACUGGGGAACUGCGUCUGAUACUGGAUGGCUUGGAUUCGGGAGAGGAAUGCGGAAUUCCAGGUGUAGCGGUGAAAUGCGUAGAUAUCUGGAGGAACACCGGUGGCGAAGGCGGCAUUCUGGACCGAUAUUGACGCUGAGGAGCGAAAGCCAGGGGAGCAAACGG